Molecule: long non-coding RNA, 3104 nt
Organism: Parus major (Great Tit)
Lineage: Eukaryota; Metazoa; Chordata; Aves; Passeriformes; Paridae
Exons: 3
Source: RefSeq, a predicted model, not a curated record
GGAAAGCCCCUGCCCCAGCAGCACCUGCACUUCUUUCUUUCCCAGGUGUGUGUCCUGGAGAAGUGUGGCUCCCUUCCUUGAAGGAAAGAAGUGUGGCCCUGUCCAACGAGCCAUGAGAGCAAACAGAGACAGGAGAGAGAAAUGGCAGGAGGUGACACAAGGUGACCUCGGGGAGCUGUGAGGAAACUCAGCUCUGCCAGCUCGAGCCAUCAGGGUGUGGGGCUGAGGCUCCUCUCCCUGCCUGGCUGUUCCUGACUGUAGGAAGAGGCUCAGCAUGUGCUGGAGGGAGGAGAGGAUGGACUUGCAGGGGGCACAGGGAAUGCCAGAGCUCCAGCCGUAAGAAAUCAAGAUUCAUUAGUUCCACUAGGCACAGAACAACUUGCUGAAGGAGCCUGGGCUUCAAGCUGAGCGCAUCCCUUAGCAGCGUCUGGGGACCCUUUCAUUUGGUUAAUUAGACACAAAGUUUUUCUGUGCAGUGGGAGGCCGAGUAUGUGCUGAGGAGCAUUUACUAAUGAGAUAAUUUAUUGUGGCUGUCUGGGAAGCUGAGUGUACACAGCUCCUCCCGUGCACACACCGCCCACCUCAAACCCUCCGCUCCCAGCUGGAGAGGCCUCGGCUCCGGAGGUGGAAUUACGGUGUCAGGUCUCCCUGGGAGAGCCCUGCCCAGGAGCCAUCCUCCCACGGGGGGCUUCUGCAGGAGGGCCUCACCUACAUCUGAAUAUCCUUGCAACAAUUUUCACUCUUUGACUGGCCAAACUUCCUAAUUCCGCUAUUUUUCACACUAGAUUUGAUCUGUGAUUCAAUGAAGUAACUUCAUUUUGCCUCUCUCUUUUCCCCUGCUCCAGGUCUCUCCUUACACGGUUCAAGUGUUAGGGCUUGCCUACACUUGAAGGCUGACUCUGGCUUUAGGGACAUAUAAAUCUGAAAGACAAGAACUGAUUUUUGAAUAGCUCUGGGAGGAUUUACUCAAAAUCAGUAAUUUCUGAAUAACUUGGUGCCUUGGCUGGCCAGUUCAUCCUCCAGGAACUUACAACCUCCCCCUCCAGAGUCUGCCUAGCUGAAAUCCUCACGCUGUCACAGCUGAAAUGUGGCUACAAAGAGCUGCAGGAAUUCCCCAAGGUUGUUUCACAGCCGAAAUACAAUGCCUGGAACAAAAGGACUGUGCUGCAGGAGUCGGAGAGGAGCAGUGGGAGGAAGAGAAGCCCCCAGUGUGUGACUGGAGGAGCUGCAGAUGGCCAGACGUGACUGCGAGGGAAGGGAGGCAGCGCUCAGAGCAGCGUUUCAGCUUUCAAGUCCCGUGCUCCAGGAUCUACAUGCCAUUUCUUGGAUGUGGUUUGCCCCGAGGGCAAUCUCAACAGCUGUGAAGUUUCAACAGAUGAACAAUGUAGUUUUCAAUAAAUUUCACCAAGCAAAGGAAAGGAUUUUAACUCGUUCAUGCUAACCCACUUUUGGUCUGAAGGCUCUGCUGGACCCCAAUCCUUUCACACCAUGAGUGUUUCCUGUUUGAGCCCCAGGCACACCUGAGCUACACUGAGAGGUUUUUCCCCCUCAGAAGAGGCUUCUCUCAGCCAUUCCUGUGGGUCCUGGGAGGUGCAGGAACACUCCUGCCUUUACCUGUGCCACUUGAACCUGCUCUGGUGGAGGAAGGUGCCAAAUGAGGAUGCCCUCAGCUCCUGGUGGGGAAAGGAGAGGAGGUAGAAAGACAAUCUUUCAAAUCUCCUUGUGGCUACUGCAUCUUGGAAGUUCCAUUUCCUUUGUAGGCACACAUCCAGAAGUGGGGCUUUGCUCUUGGAGUCAUGUUCUCAUCCCAGCUGAAGGCUGAUGCCAUUAAUUGUAACUGAAAGAGGGGCUUUUGUGUCCCCAAAUUCUGCAGUCGGAGAAGUCAAGAAAUUACCUCUUCCAAAACCCAUCUGGUGUAUCCUCAGAUCCCAAGGACAAUUACUGUGAAUUGUACACAGGACAGGACAGCAAACCUGAGUUCAGAAGUAAAAGGCCAGCUAAAAAGCCAGCACUGGGGUUUUUUGGUGCAUGUCUGGGGGUUCUGAGCACUGAGGCUGUGACCUUUGCUGCCUCCCCUGUGGCUGGGAUCUGUCAGGCGGUUUCAGGAGUCCGAAGCGGCGAGCUCACACCCCUUGCAGGAGAUAACAGUGCUGAGUGAGCCCUGGAGGGAUCUCACACCUGUGCAGGCUCCCUGCUUCACCUGUCCAUGCUUCACCUUUGCUGUCCAGGCCGAUGGGCUCAGGACUGAGCAUUUCCUCCUCACCCAAAUGUCUGCCCAGAGGCCAUUCCCUCCUGCUCCCACACAGCCACUCCCUGGCCAGUCUGCUUCCCCCUCCCUCUGCAGACAGACAGACAGACAGACAGACAGCAAACACCUCCAGGAGCUGCCCCGGUGGUUCCCCACACAGCUCUGGGGGGCACUGAUGGAGUUUCACAGUAAGGAAACAACCCAAGCCCAUCUACAGACUCGAGGGUGGGUCUGUGUGUGAGGCAGAGGUGCCCUUGACCUUUAGGAGGCUCUUAGCACCAACCCAUGAACAGCGACUGCUUUCAACCAGAGCUUUACAGUGACUGCCUCCCCACCUCUGUCCCUUCCCGAGCCAGGACACAGCUCAUAAAGCACCCAGAGAGAUCUUGUGAGAUGCUGCAGCCUCCACACAAUAGUGCACAGACACAUUUGGGGUCUUUUGUCCCGGCUCUUCAAAAUGUUUCAUGAGUUUUAGUCAUCACAUUGCUCUUCCUGUCCUACUGAGGCUCCCCAACCAUCAGCUUCCAACAGAAGUUUUUCAGACAGAAACUAAAUAUUUUUUCCUUCCUGUAAAAGAAGCCAGUGGUAUCUCCUUUUCACGUGGAAAGUCAAUAACCCUUGCAAAUGCACAGGGCAGCCUGGUUGUGCACUCUGAUUUCUCAUGAUUUCUGCUGAAAUGCUUUCAGUUGGCAUCUCCACCAGAGUGCUGAGCUCUCCAUCCAUGGGCUGCUCCUUGGGAAGAUUGCAAAGAUCCUCCCCUGUAGGAGCAGAAAGAUCAGUGGUCUGAGCAAACCCCUCGGCUGUCUGGAGAGGCUGGACACUGUGGAUGCUGUGCUGGAUUCAUUCCCAGCCUUGU